Molecule: long non-coding RNA, 582 nt
Filed under: Olea europaea subsp. europaea
Lineage: Eukaryota; Viridiplantae; Streptophyta; Magnoliopsida; Lamiales; Oleaceae
Source: RNAcentral
AUCGACACCUCGUAGUUGUUUUGCAGUCAGUAAAUCGCCUAUUGACAAAAAUAAUAUAAUUAAAGUCCCGAACCCCAGUGGGCUGAACGUGAUCGCUAUCCGAUCCGGUUUCACGGUUUGCACAUUUACCUCAUUUUCAGUCGGAAUAUCCUCUCUCUCCCCCUCUCUCUCCAUGGACGCAGUUACCUUCUCAACUCCGCUCUCUUUAUAUUCACCUCUAUUCAAUCACCGCCACUCUCUCUCUAAACCGCCACAUGCAUUCCCUUUCCAUCUACCCAGAAAAUUCCCAACCUUAACCCUCAAAUCCCUUAAUUCUCACUUCCCCACUUAUUCAACUCAAAAUUCAAGUGCCCCAUCUGAGGACUCGCUCUUGCUCCACCUCUUUGCGUCGGCACCGCAGACUCCUGCCACCGCAAUGCGCGGGGCCGAGACUGACGCCAUGGGUUUGUUGCUCAAGGAGAGGAUUGUUUUCUUGGGAAAUCAGAUUGAUGAUUUUCUUGCUGAUGCUAUUAUCAGCCAGCUGCUCUUGCUUGAUGCUCAGGACCCCACUAAGGACAUUCGACUUUUCGUCAAUUCCCCCGG